This 324-nucleotide ribosomal RNA is filed under the name Limnofilidae sp. Its description in RNAcentral is "SSU rRNA". The stretch from base 108 to 324 matches the Rfam family "Eukaryotic small subunit ribosomal RNA", at positions 737 to 955 of the family's 1831-position model. RNAcentral also lists the same sequence under 1 other name. Lineage: Eukaryota; Cercozoa; Limnofilidae. The record is from RNAcentral.
GAUUUCUGGUGUGGUGUACCGAGCCCGCCGCCGUUAGGCGGUGAGUGCUUGCUGUGCGCCUACCAUCCUUCCGGAGAGCGUGCUCUACCCUUAACUGGGCCGGAGUGCGCGAUCUGGAUCGUUUACUUUGAAAAAAUUAGAGUGUUUAAAGCAGGCGUUUGCUAUGAAUACAUUAGCAUGGAAUAAUAAGAUAGGACUUUGGUUCUAUUUUGUUGGUUUCUAGGACUGAAGUAAUGAUUGAUAGGGACAGUUGGGGGUGCUAGUAUUUAACGGCCAGAGGUGAAAUUCUUGGAUUCGUUAAAGACUAACUUAUGCGAAAGCAUU